UGAUGAGAUUGCUAAGUCCGAGCAAAACAACAAUGGUGUUUGUCAUACGUGAUUAAACAAGGACGCCACUUGAAAAUUUAGAACCUGUUUUGCGAGAAGAUACUCAGAAGUUCUGGUUUAGGUGGUGAUAGCAACAUUAAGUCUGCCCUGAGUCCAAUACAAGCUGUUGCCAUGGCAAAUAAUACAUUACUUUUGAAAGAGCACAAAGAGAUUCUGAAAACAUAAAUUGGAUUUUGGAUGACACAUUAGAGGGAGAGGUAGCAUCUGUGGAUAUAUCUACUAAAGAUAAUCUGAAUAAUCUGGUGAAAGCUGGUUUGCUAGUUUACUGUCGGAGAUAAGAAAAGCGAAAAAGUCUAAGCAUCAAAAUGGCAAGUGAAUGGAUGAUCACUAGAUUGAAUAUGUCAAUCCAUUGCUGAAGCUGUAUCUUUUAUUUCUUUGCUUAAUUAAUCAUUUCUGUAAGAUUGUGAUGCAAGUUUGUAACAUUUUAAACUUUAAUUAUGAAUAAAU
Molecule: long non-coding RNA, 507 nt
Organism: Vicia villosa (hairy vetch)
Lineage: Eukaryota; Viridiplantae; Streptophyta; Magnoliopsida; Fabales; Fabaceae
Exons: 5
Source: RefSeq, a predicted model, not a curated record